Molecule: long non-coding RNA, 371 nt
Organism: Strongylocentrotus purpuratus (purple sea urchin)
Lineage: Eukaryota; Metazoa; Echinodermata; Echinoidea; Camarodonta; Strongylocentrotidae
Exons: 3
Source: RefSeq, a predicted model, not a curated record
UGAGAGGUCCACCCCCGAGUUUCCAGGUUGAGUUCACGCUCAAUCCACUCAAUCAAUUCUCGGAUCAACGAGGAAUAAAGAUAGAAAUUAUGUUGGAUGUCAAGCAAGGAGAUAAAUCAGAGAUGCUGCCAGUGAGCGUCCAGCCCACCGACGAAGAUGGAAACAGCGGUGCGGAACAAGACACUGCUCCCGAAACUGGGUCGGACCAUGGACCUGAUGAAGCAAUGACGGAGAUUGGAUCACUGCGAUCUGAUGAAGGCUGUGAUUAGAGAGAACCUUGUGCAACCUGUACAUGUGCAGUGACCGUCAGACCUCCGUCUUCCUCUUUCUUCGCACCCGGCAUGCCAGAGGAGUGAAGUGCUGUAGUUUAA